CUACUACCGAUUGAAUGGCUCAGUGAGGCUUUCGGACCGGCCCAGAGAGAGUGGCAACACUCACCUCNGGGCUGGAAAGUUGUACAAACUUGGUCAUUUAGAGGAAGUAAAAGUCGUAACAAGGUU
RNAcentral lists this ribosomal RNA (126 nucleotides) under uncultured eukaryote. RNAcentral's name for it is "partial 18S ribosomal RNA". It matches the Rfam family "Eukaryotic small subunit ribosomal RNA", at positions 1679 to 1801 of the family's 1831-position model. The record is from RNAcentral.